Molecule: long non-coding RNA, 805 nt
Organism: Hyla sarda
Lineage: Eukaryota; Metazoa; Chordata; Amphibia; Anura; Hylidae
Exons: 3
Source: RefSeq, a predicted model, not a curated record
ACAAGUUUUGUUGAAUCUUCCCCAACACCUCAUAAAUUAGGACAGAGGAGAGAUCUGUGCCUAGGCUAGUGGUGGACAUCCUGCUGUCGCAAAACUACUCUUGGGCAUGUUGAGAGUUGUAGUUCUCCACCAUGUUCACAGUUUGAAGAUCUCUGGCAUAGGCUGUAUACUACAGAAGAUGCACGUAUAUGGUGUGAAACGGCUGCUGUCGCCGCCUAGCUGUCCCCCCCGUGUUGCACUUUUUCCUCUCCCCUGUUGUAUGCGAGUAUGUUUUGAAGAAAGAAGAAGUUCUGAAGAUGCAUUGGAAUAUUGAGAAAAUGUACAGAAAAAUCCAAGAAACGCGACUGUGUAGAACAAGAGGCUUGAACUCAGGCCGGAGCUCUGCUAGUACCGACAGGACACCGGAGUGUUAGACUGUAAAAUAUGCCGGGACUUCAACAAAUUCUUCAGGCUGGUGCAGCUAUUUAUAACACUUUCUUUCUGGCCACCGGUCAAAGUUUUUCUGGUGAAUUUGUUGGGAGUGGAGCCCAGACCGCGCAGACUUUGGCCUGCCAGGCACAGCAGACCCCACCCAUCGGAAAAAGACUGCCUGUUUCACGACUGUGUCGUCAGCUCUGCUCUAUAAUCCCCGAGCCCAUGUCACCAGCCGAAAACUGACAGAUUAACAGGAACGGGAACGUCGCAGACCACACAGGGCUAAACCCGGCUUUAGAGGAUCCACACUGACCACAUCUUUCCUUGAUAGAAGAUUUAGAAAAACACAAACAAAUGCCUGGUGACCAGCGUCAUACAUUACGGGUGUAUA